AGAGUUUGAUCAUGGCUCAGAUUGAACGCUGGCGGUAUGCUUAACACAUGCAAGUCGAACGGAAACGAUACUAGCUUGCUAGUAGGCGUCGAGUGGCGGACGGGUGAGUAACGCGUAGGAAUCUGCCUGAUAGUGGGGGAUAGCCCGGAGAAAUUCGGAUUAAUACCGCAUAAUCUAUUCGUAGUAAAGUGGGGGACUUUCGAGCCUCACGCUAUCAGAUGAGCCUGCGUAAGAUUAGCUUGUUGGUAGGGUAAAAGCCUACCAAGGCGACGAUCUUUAGCUGGUCUGAGAGGAUGAUCAGCCACAUCGGGACUGAGACACGGCCCGAACUCCUACGGGAGGCAGCAGUGGGGAAUAUUGGACAAUGGGGGCAACCCUGAUCCAGCAAUACCGCGUGUGUGAAGAAGGCCUGAGGGUUGUAAAGCACUUUCAAUUGUGAAGAAAAGUUAACGGUUAAUAACCGUUAGCCUUGACGUUAACUUUAGAAGAAGCACCGGCUAACUCCGUGCCAGCAGCCGCGGUAAUACGGAGGGUGCAAGCGUUAAUCGGAAUUACUGGGCGUAAAGCGUGCGUAGGUGGUUUAUUAAGUCAGAUGUGAAAGCCCCGGGCUUAACCUGGGAACUGCAUUUGAAACUGGUAAACUAGAGUAUGGUAGAGGAAAGUGGAAUUUCUGGUGUAGCGGUGAAAUGCGUAGAUAUCAGAAGGAACAUCAAUGGCGAAGGCAGCUUUCUGGACCAAUACUGACACUGAGGUACGAAAGCGUGGGUAGCAAACAGGAUUAGAUACCCUGGUAGUCCACGCCGUAAACGAUGAUAACUAGCCGUUGGGGGGAUUUACCCUUUAGUGGCGAAGCUAACGCGUUAAGUUAUCCGCCUGGGGAGUACGGCCGCAAGGUUAAAACUCAAAGGAAUUGACGGGGACCCGCACAAGCGGUGGAGCAUGUGGUUUAAUUCGAUGCAACGCGAAGAACCUUACCUGGUCUUGACAUCCUGCGAACUUUCUAGAAAUAGAUUGGUGCCUUCGGGAACGCAGUGACAGGUGCUGCAUGGCUGUCGUCAGCUCGUGUCGUGAGAUGUUGGGUUAAGUCCCGUAACGAGCGCAACCCCUAUCCUUAUUUGCCAGCACAUUAUGGUGGGAACUAUAAGGAGACUGCCGGUGAUAAACCGGAGGAAGGCGGGGACGACGUCAAGUCAUCAUGGCCCUUACGACCAGGGCUACACACGUGCUACAAUGGGAAGGACAAAGAGCCGCGAAGCCGCGAGGUGUAGCUAAUCUCAUAAACCUUUUCGUAGUCCGGAUUGGAGUCUGCAACUCGACUCCAUGAAGUCGGAAUCGCUAGUAAUCGUAGAUCAGAAUGCUACGGUGAAUACGUUCCCGGGUCUUGUACACACCGCCCGUCAUACCAUGGGAGUGGGUUGCACCAGAAGUGGCUAGUCUAACUUAGUGAGGACGGUCACCACGGUGUGAUUCAUGACUGGGGUAAAGUCGUAACAAGGUA
RNAcentral lists this ribosomal RNA (1498 nucleotides) under uncultured bacterium. RNAcentral's name for it is "bacterial SSU rRNA". It matches the Rfam family "Bacterial small subunit ribosomal RNA". The record is from RNAcentral.